Long non-coding RNA from Sceloporus undulatus (fence lizard), 3754 nucleotides. RefSeq lists it as uncharacterized. The record is from RefSeq and is a predicted model, not a curated record. The transcript has 2 exons. NCBI's taxonomy places the organism in Eukaryota, Metazoa, Chordata, Lepidosauria, Squamata, Phrynosomatidae.
CCGGCUGCAGGGCCGACAAGAAGAAGUUAGUGGGCUCCGGCUGCUGCAUGGGGGCAAGGGGCACAAAAGCAGCAGCAGCCAAGCCCCGGGGCCGCCUGCUCCUCUGACUGGAAGGCUGCCUCCCUCCCUCCCUCCAGGUCCAGGGCUGGGAAAGUCCCUCGAAGAUUAUUGUGCAGUCCUCAAAUCCUCCCUGGACACUCACAAGUCUUCUAACGAAGAGUAACAAAAACAUUCAAACCACCACAAAUCAUGGUGAUUUUUUUCUUCACUUGAUCCCCAAAACAAGGAAAACACACCAAGGAUUUCAUGUAGGGAGAAAAUAUGAGGCUGCAAGACAAGACCACCUUUAUACCGGUGGUUCUCAAACUCUCCAGAUGUUUGGCUCUUCAGCUCCCAGAAUUCCUGAGCAUUAUCCAUACUGGCUGGAACAUCUAGGAGCUGAUGUCCAAAACAAACUACUGCUCUGUACCACCUGCUGUAAGCAAUUGUAUUGAAUCUAAGAGCCUUUAGGGUACUUAGGCCUUUUGCAAAACUGCUGCCCCCUAAAAUAAAAGAGAAAAGGCUAGCUUGUACAGUCACCUAGAAUUGUUGGCAGUAAACAGCAUGCUGCACUGUAAAUGCCUGUGGGCCUAACCCUAACAAUAGCCUGUUCAUUGUCUCUGCAUGUAUACCGUUCAAGUUGUUGGUCUCUAUUUGAUCAUGUUAACCUCAGCCACUUGCAGCUAUUUACAUAUCAAGGAACAGCCAAAAGAUAUUCCCCACCCUGGUUAUGUCAAUAAAGAUUUUAGAAUAGUUGGCUAGACCACUAAGGCAGGAUUGGUUUUCCCAGCCUUUAUGUACCAGACACUCAAGAGACUGCUUUCAGAGUUAUAUAUGCACAACACUGGGUCCAAUGAAACAUUUUGGACAAGAUAAGAACCCUAAUGCUAACAGUAAGGUCUGACUGGCAGUCCAUUCACUUUCCUCUUGCACAGAGCUGAGCUGGUUUAUACAUCUCUAAGGAAAACAGCACAUUCUUCUUGUAAAUAUGCCUGCCUAAGGCUUGUAAGGGACAAUCAUCAGGAUGUCUGAUGUUCCAUAAAAUGGUUUUCCUUUGGGUGGUCUCCUCUAGCCAAAUAAUAAUUAAGUAGCAUUUGUGAAGCACUCAGAUGUCCACAUGAAAGACUCUCUGGACAUGUGUAGCACAUUAAUCAUCAUAAUAGCCAGGCCCAGCCCUGCUUAGCUGUUCAAAUUCUGCAGCGUGCCGCACAGCACAGUGCUGAGUAUCUAGCUAUUAAAGACUCUGUUUCUAUAGUAUGAAUAAUCCCUCUGGGUAAAGAAAGCACUCCUAAAUUAAGGAGACCUCAUUAAGAAAGAGUGUCUCUUUGUUAACAAGUGGGAAACUGAGGCACAUAAUGUGAAGUUGUUCAUGAGUCAGAAGCAGGGUAAAGUCUAUGACUCAGCAUUUUCUGGGAAUGUGCUCCAACCUAAUUGAACUUUUGCUUUCUUAUGUGCCUACAUAGGAAUAUUCAUUGUAGUAGAUAUCCUCAUUUAUUAGAAACAAGAAUAAUGUCCCAGAUCACAGAAUGGAAAGGGAGGAGAGCAGGAAUGUACAUUCUGAUACUUCCUUAAAACACUAAGAAAAUAUAUUCACAUUAGAAAUUUGGGAAGCAGCUUCUAACACAACACACUACGCCCAUUCAGUGCUACUCAAAUUGAUCUAUAGAGUCAUGCUAGUCCACAAACCAUCAGCUGCUGUUCUGUGGCUAGUUUUGAGGAAACUUUGUGGGAAAAUAGGGUAAUAUACAGUAGCACAAGUAUGGCACUGGUCUGUGGCUCAUUAAAAACAAACCUUGCUGGUCUACCACAUCAGAUGGCUUGACUCUAUGAUUCUAUUCUAUGAAAAGUGCUGCUGUAAUCUGUAAUAGCCUGAGGUCAAACAAUGUGCCUAUCCUUUCUCCAUUCUCUCCACCCAUCCCCAUUUAGGGGAACAGAAUCCUGUGAGGACCUUUGCUCAUGACUCCCUACAAAAAAUUGAUUGGUAUUGUUAGAAAUAGGUUCUGAGAAAAGGUUAUCCUGUGGUGACCAUUGCAUAAACAUGCCUUGCAGUAAUACAGGCCCUCUACAGAUGGGCCUAAAGUGUGCCCCCGUUACGUGCUAGGGGUUGGCCGAGAGUGCACCACCCAUACUGGCCUCACCUCUAGCACAUGAAAGGGGCGUCAAAAUGGCAGGGCCCUGUACAUGGUCACCGCCAUUUUGACGUGACGGACACUUAGCGUCUGCAUGUCCCAGCACAUUUGUGAUGCUGCAAGUGCGCCAUUUGCGCAUUGUGACAUCCCAAACGCAUCGCAAGAAGAACCCACUUUUUAAGGAUUCUUUUUACUCCGCAGGGAAGCCCUAUGGUCUGGAGGCUGCAGCUUCCCCACGGAGCAAACUAGGGCGGCGGGAGACUGUCCUUUUUGGGCGGUCUGUGUUAGCUAAACGUCAUCUUAAAAGUUCUAGUCUUUAGAACAAAAUCUCUGAUUCAUCUUAAGUAGUGUUCAAAGUCUAUUUCAGGUGUCAUGUCUGCUCAUUCACUGUUUCGUAUGCAUUGAAUCCAUGCCGAGAUCCCAGUAUUGACCUUCCCUGUUUCAAAUGAGUGGCAGCUGGUGUUUCUGAUGUUAAUUGAGACAGUGAAUCUACUCUGGGAUUUAGUCUGAACUUAGGUGUGGGGCCUGUUUUGAGGGUAUGGUUCAGUACUUUGGAUGGUUCCUUGUCUAUGCCUAAAAGGUACCUGAUUUGGUACCUACCAACUGCCACUACUUCAAAUGGGAGGCCAGACCUUUGCAAGGUCCGAAAGAGAGACCUUUCCUUUUCCGGAUUAAUGCUCCAACACUUAAACAAGUCAGCAGUGAGGUGCUAUUUGGGCAACAUCUUAGAGGAAAGGCCCAUUAAGACUAGUUCAGGCAGCAAAUUUCAGAGAGAUAAAAUGAAGAUUGGUUUUAUCGUUAUCCCCUGCCAAAACCCAUAUUGCUGCCUCCUUGCUGCUUUUCUGUUGCCUGCUGACAUUUCCAAGGUAGCAUGAGAAAGCAGGCCCUAAAGACCCUGAAGAUACUAGGUCCUAUCUGAUCUUGAAUGAAAGACCAUCAAGGAACACAAGGUAUUGUAGACUAUAUAUCAGAGAAAGGAACUAGCCAAACUACCUCUGAGUAUUCCUUGCCUUUAAAAAAAACCUAUGAAAUUCAUGAGGUCGCCAUAAGUCAACAGGCAAUUAAAGGUUGAACAUACAUAUGAGAAAAUAAGAGGUGCAUAAGGAUUUAAUGGAGAGUAGUCAUAAUGACAGAGUUGACAUUGGAUCCAUGCUUUGAGCUGCCUUUGAAGGGAUAACCCUGGAAGGUGUCUUGUGAAUAAUGAAAUAAGGAAACAUAAAGUCAGGUAGCUUAGAAGACAAAGCAGGCUUGAUGGUUGAGAUUCUAAUAGGCUCACUCUGCAAAUAAAGGUGUUCUUGGAUAACUACACUUGGUGAUUGUAAAAUUGACUAUUUAUAAGGAAUGACUUCCAUAUUGACCUUUCUGCCAGAAUCCACUGCAUAUCUGCUGGAGAAAUUUUGUGCAUUACAGAGAAUUCUGGACACAUCAUUAGUUUGUGAGACAUAUUGGACUAGACUCCUGAUAUUAAACAAGGUGGGGAAUUUUAGUGAUGGUGCACAAAUGAUGUUCCAGAAAAACUUUGUCAUUACUAUUCUUGUAGCAGAAAACAUUUGGGCUGCCCACAAUAUAUUCUUAAAAACACUGCA